RNAcentral lists this transfer RNA (62 nucleotides) under Sphaeroderma sp. BMNH 846647. RNAcentral describes it as "tRNA-Leu". The record is from RNAcentral. Lineage: Eukaryota; Metazoa; Arthropoda; Insecta; Coleoptera; Chrysomelidae.
UCUAAUAUGGCAGAAUAGUGCAUUGGAUUUAAAUCCCAAAUAUAAAGUCAUCUUUUUUAGAA